AUUGAACGCUGGCGGCAUGCUUUACACAUGCAAGUCGGACGGCAGCGCGGGCUUCGGCCUGGCGGCGAGUGGCGAACGGGUGAGUAAUACAUCGGAACGUGCCCAGUAGUGGGGGAUAGCUCGGCGAAAGCCGGAUUAAUACCGCAUACGACCUGAGGGUGAAAGCGGGGGAUCUUCGGACCUCGCGCUAUUGGAGCGGCCGAUGGCAGAUUAGCUAGUUGGUGGGGUAAAGGCCUACCAAGGCGACGAUCUGUAGCUGGUCUGAGAGGACGACCAGCCACACUGGGGCUGAGACACGGCCCAGACUCCUACGGGAGGCAGCAGUGGGGAAUUUUGGACAAUGGGCGAAAGCCUGAUCCAGCAAUGCCGCGUGUGUGAUGAAGGCCUUCGGGUUGUAAAGCACUUUUGGCGGGAACGAAAAGGACUGUGCCAAUACCACGGUUCGAUGACGGUACCCGCAGAAUAAGCACCGGCUAACUACGUG
This 484-nucleotide ribosomal RNA is filed under the name uncultured bacterium. RNAcentral describes it as "partial 16S ribosomal RNA". It matches the Rfam family "Bacterial small subunit ribosomal RNA", at positions 29 to 507 of the family's 1533-position model. The record is from RNAcentral.